Molecule: ribosomal RNA, 997 nt
Filed under: Vibrio parahaemolyticus
Lineage: Bacteria; Pseudomonadati; Pseudomonadota; Gammaproteobacteria; Vibrionales; Vibrionaceae
Description: bacterial SSU rRNA
Rfam family: Bacterial small subunit ribosomal RNA
Source: RNAcentral
GAGUAAUGCCUAGGAAAUUGCCCUGAUGUGGGGGAUAACCAUUGGAAACGAUGGCUAAUACCGCAUGAUGCCUACGGGCCAAAGAGGGGGACCUUCGGGCCUCUCGCGUCAGGAUAUGCCUAGGUGGGAUUAGCUAGUUGGUGAGGUAAGGGCUCACCAAGGCGACGAUCCCUAGCUGGUCUGAGAGGAUGAUCAGCCACACUGGAACUGAGACACGGUCCAGACUCCUACGGGAGGCAGCAGUGGGGAAUAUUGCACAAUGGGCGCAAGCCUGAUGCAGCCAUGCCGCGUGUGUGAAGAAGGCCUUCGGGUUGUAAAGCACUUUCAGUCGUGAGGAAGGUAGUGUAGUUAAUAGCUGCAUUAUUUGACGUUAGCGACAGAAGAAGCACCGGCUAACUCCGUGCCAGCAGCCGCGGUAAUACGGAGGGUGCGAGCGUUAAUCGGAAUUACUGGGCGUAAAGCGCAUGCAGGUGGUUUGUUAAGUCAGAUGUGAAAGCCCGGGGCUCAACCUCGGAAUUGCAUUUGAAACUGGCAGACUAGAGUACUGUAGAGGGGGGUAGAAUUUCAGGUGUAGCGGUGAAAUGCGUAGAGAUCUGAAGGAAUACCGGUGGCGAAGGCGGCCCCCUGGACAGAUACUGACACUCAGAUGCGAAAGCGUGGGGAGCAAACAGGAUUAGAUACCCUGGUAGUCCACGCCGUAAACGAUGUCUACUUGGAGGUUGUGGCCUUGAGCCGUGGCUUUCGGAGCUAACGCGUUAAGUAGACCGCCUGGGGAGUACGGUCGCAAGAUUAAAACUCAAAUGAAUUGACGGGGGCCCGCACAAGCGGUGGAGCAUGUGGUUUAAUUCGAUGCAACGCGAAGAACCUUACCUACUCUUGACAUCCAGAGAACUUUCCAGAGAUGGAUUGGUGCCUUCGGGAACUCUGAGACAGGUGCUGCAUGGCUGUCGUCAGCUCGUGUUGUGAAAUGUUGGGUUAAGUCCCGCAACGAGCGCAA